This 102-nucleotide ribosomal RNA is filed under the name Escherichia coli. Its description in RNAcentral is "partial 16S ribosomal RNA". It matches the Rfam family "Bacterial small subunit ribosomal RNA", at positions 1 to 100 of the family's 1533-position model. RNAcentral also lists the same sequence under 1 other name. Lineage: Bacteria; Pseudomonadati; Pseudomonadota; Gammaproteobacteria; Enterobacterales; Enterobacteriaceae. The record is from RNAcentral.
UUAAAUUGAAGAGUUUGAUCAUGGCUCAGAUUGAACGCUGGCGGCAGGCCUAACACAUGCAAGUCGAACGGUAACAGGAAACAGCUUGCUGUUUCGCUGACG